RNAcentral lists this ribosomal RNA (450 nucleotides) under uncultured bacterium. RNAcentral describes it as "bacterial SSU rRNA". It matches the Rfam family "Bacterial small subunit ribosomal RNA", at positions 329 to 793 of the family's 1533-position model. The record is from RNAcentral.
AUCCAGACUCCUACGGGAGGCAGCAGUGGGGAAUAUUGGGCAAUGGGCGCAAGCCUGACCCAGCAACGCCGCGUGAAGGAAGAAGGCUUUCGGGUUGUAAACUUCUUUUCUCAGGGACGAAGCAAGUGACGGUACCUGAGGAAUAAGCCACGGCUAACUACGUGCCAGCAGCCGCGGUAAUACGUAGGUGGCAAGCGUUAUCCGGAUUUACUGGGUGUAAAGGGCGUGUAGGCGGGAAAGCAAGUCAGAUGUGAAAACCAUGGGCUCAACCCAUAGCCUGCAUUUGAAACUGUACUUCUUGAGUGCUGGAGAGGCAAUCGGAAUUCCGUGUGUAGCGGUGAAAUGCGUAGAGAUCGGGAGGAACACCAGUGGCGAAGGCGGCCUACUGGGCUUUAACUGACGCUGAGGCACGAAAGCGUGGGUAGCAAACAGGAUUAGAUACCCCCGUAU